CCUACGGGUGGCAGCAGUGGGGAAUAUUGGACAAUGGGCGAAAGCCUGAUCCAGCCAUGCCGCGUGUGUGAAGAAGGCCUUCGGGUUGUAAAGCACUUUCAGUGGGGAAGAAAGCCUUGGGGCUAAUACCCUCGAGGAAGGACAUCACCCACAGAAGAAGCACCGGCUAACUCCGUGCCAGCAGCCGCGGUAAUACGGAGGGUGCGAGCGUUAAUCGGAAUUACUGGGCGUAAAGCGCGCGUAGGCGGUCUGAUAAGCCGGUUGUGAAAGCCCCGGGCUCAACCUGGGAACGGCAUCCGGAACUGUCAGGCUAGAGUGCAGGAGAGGAAGGUAGAAUUCCCGGUGUAGCGGUGAAAUGCGUAGAGAGCGGGAGGAAUACCAGUGGCGAAGGCGGCCUUCUGGACUGACACUGACGCUGAGGUGCGAAAGCGUGGGUAGCAAACAGGAUUAGAUACCCUAGUAGUC
Molecule: ribosomal RNA, 465 nt
Filed under: Vreelandella stevensii
Lineage: Bacteria; Pseudomonadati; Pseudomonadota; Gammaproteobacteria; Oceanospirillales; Halomonadaceae
Description: partial 16S ribosomal RNA
Rfam family: Bacterial small subunit ribosomal RNA
Source: RNAcentral